UAUUAUAUGCUGGCGCAGUAUUCUAGUCAGUUUUCGCCGACCCGAAGGCGGGGGUAAAAUAUCGCCAAAGGGCAUAUCGAUGAAGUUUCUGGUGAUGGCUUUGGUUGCCCAAACCGGGGCUGUUGCUGGGAGUUAAGACUUUCGGGCGCUUCGUAACGGCAUACGAAACUCGACCCGUUUGUCGCGGAGACCCGUCUCGGUUGGACCUGCGUCCUACUGAACGGGGUGAAACCUGCUAUGCGGUGAUAAUAAGCUGUGUGCAGAGUAGCCUGCCUUGAGUGGAUUUUCAGGGACAGAGGAACUACGGGGUUGUCGGUUGGCCAACCGAUUCUCCCGAUUGCCUCUCGAAAUGUUGUCUGCAAAAAAGGAUUAGGGCGGACGGAAACUGCAAAGGAAAUCUUCUAGACUGUUCUCGUAGGCAGCUUGGGGAUUAUAGUGUGCUCUAAGUGGCGAUUCGGUUAUGCAUCGGGAAACCGUGCAUCUUGCGGAGUAAUCGGAAACGUCUCGGUCGGCGACGACGAGUUUCCGCAGGGGGAAAGCCUACCGAACCUGAAGGCGCAAGGUUUACUCAGGCUGUCGCCAGCAU
This 586-nucleotide small RNA is filed under the name human gut metagenome. The record is from RNAcentral.